RNAcentral lists this ribosomal RNA (828 nucleotides) under Triticum aestivum (bread wheat). RNAcentral describes it as "partial small subunit ribosomal RNA". The record is from RNAcentral. Lineage: Eukaryota; Viridiplantae; Streptophyta; Magnoliopsida; Poales; Poaceae.
AUGAGCGGCGCAGCCUACAGGGACCGGGGAUUCGGCGGCGCCGCGGAGAUGGACCGGAAGCGCAUCAAGGAGGCGCUCGAGAAGCACACGGAGAGGCCGUCCCCGUCCACCUCCAGGGGGGCGUCCAGGGAGAAGGAGCUGCUCGCCGCCGGCAAGAUAACCACUCAGAUCGGCAAGGUCCCCAAGGUCUCCGACGUCGAGGAAUUCGAAACUGACAGUGAAGAUUCUGAUGUUAGUGGUUCUGAAGGAGAGGACACAUCUUGGAUUUCAUGGUUCUGUAGCUUGCGAGGCAACGAAUUCUUCUGUGAGAUUGAUGAUGAUUAUAUACAGGAUGAUUUCAAUCUCUGUGGCCUAAGCAGUCAGGUGCCAUAUUAUGAUUAUGCACUUGAUCUCAUCCUAGACAUUGAGUCUUCUAAUGGUGAUGUAUUCACUGAGGAGCAAAAUGAAUUAAUUGAGUCAUCUGCAGAGAUGCUGUAUGGUUUAAUUCAUGCACGUUACAUCUUAACCAGCAAGGGUCUAGCUGCAAUGUUAGAGAAGUUCAAGAACUAUGAUUUUGGCAGAUGCCCUCGAGUAUACUGCUGUGGUCAACCCUGUCUUCCAGCAGGGCAAUCAGACAUUCCUAGGUCAAGCACAGUGAAGGUGUUUUGUCCAAAAUGUGAAGAUUUACACUAUCCAAGGUCCAAGUACCAAGGCAACAUUGAUGGAGCAUACUUUGGUACGACAUUCCCUCAUCUCUUCUUGAUGACAUACCCACACCUGAAGCCACAGAAGCCAUCACAGCAAUAUGUUCCAAGAGUUUUUGGCUUCAAACUUCACAAGCAAUCAUGA